Long non-coding RNA from Rhinichthys klamathensis goyatoka, 755 nucleotides. RefSeq lists it as uncharacterized. The record is from RefSeq and is a predicted model, not a curated record. NCBI's taxonomy places the organism in Eukaryota, Metazoa, Chordata, Actinopteri, Cypriniformes, Leuciscidae. The transcript is spliced from 7 exons.
UUCCUCCUCUGAUUCAACUCGCUUCAGAGCGCGUGUGUGAAGACGUCUGACUUAAACUAGGUGGUUCUUAACUCUCUCCAUGUGGUUUGAAGCCUAUUGUACCCGACAUAUGCAGUAUGGUUUUGGGUGACACUCCUGUGAACAGACGGGUCAAUAGGCUCCAGAACAAAAUGUUGCCUCAAUCCUGGGAAUUUAUCCAAAAAAUAAUCCUUUUUUGUUUCCGAGGAAUCCUAUUCAGAUGGUGUGAUCUAAAGGAUGUCCACUAGGCGGCGCACCAGCCCUUUGGUGAUUGGAGGCGUGUGAGAGGUCCCAUAUGGUGAGAUUGAAGAAUAAAUGCUGGCAGGGCGUCGUUCUUACACGCAGUGCUGUAAAAUGAAAAGUUUGGGUUUGGAGUGAAGGGUUUCCCAGCCAGACUUGCAAGGUGAGAGCCAUUUCAUGUCUUUGGAUCACUUUCAAAGGGGGUCAGCCACUUCUCACUGGCGAUCCUCAACGCCGUGAUCCCACAUCAGUGCCCUAUGAGAUGUUUUGCAGCAUUUUUUGCUAAAUAAAAUGCCUGUGGUCUUUAGGGCAACACCUGAUAUACUUCAAGCCUUCUCAGUGGCAUAUUGUAUUAGCUCUUUGAUUAUGAAUGUAAUUGCCUUUUGUCUUUAACAACAGUUGGUGCUGAUGAGAUCAUACUGCGUGGGAAACUAAACCUUCCUCUGCUUUGGAGUUUUGUGGUAAUGCAGUUUUCAAUAAAUGAAGUUCGAAAUCAA